GAUGAAGAACGUAGCGAAAUGCGAUAAGUAAUGUGAAUUGCAGAAUUCAGUGAAUCAUCGAAUCUUUGAACGCACAUUGCGCCCCCCAGUAUUCUGGCGGGCAUGCCUGUUCGAGCGUCAUUUCAACCAUCAAGCCCUGCUUGUGUUGGGGUCCUGCGGCUGCCCGCAGGCCCUGAAAACCAGUGGCGGGCUCGCUAGUCACACCGAGCGCAGUAGCACAUCUCGCUCAGGGCGUGCGGCGGGCUCCAGCCGUUAAAGCACCCACCUUUCGCAAGGUUGACCUCGGAUCAGGUAGGAAUACCCGCUGAACUUAAGCAUAUCAAAAGCGGAGGA
Molecule: unclassified non-coding RNA, 333 nt
Filed under: soil metagenome
Description: partial contains 5.8S ribosomal RNA, internal transcribed spacer 2, and large subunit ribosomal RNA
Rfam family: 5.8S ribosomal RNA (bases 1-120)
Source: RNAcentral